AAUUCUCAACCAUUGAACUUGUUUCUUUGGCUUGGAUGUGGGAGUUGCGGGCUUUGCAAAGAAGUCGGCUCUCCUUAAAUGCAUUAGUGGAAACCGCUUGAGGAUUCAUUUCACUUUUGGCGUGAUAGUAUCGUCGUCGAAGGGCAACAUGUUUCCGAGGUAUCUGCUCUCUAACCGUCUGAAAAAGACACUUUAAUGACUU
Molecule: unclassified non-coding RNA, 202 nt
Filed under: uncultured Agaricales
Lineage: Eukaryota; Fungi; Basidiomycota; Agaricomycetes; Agaricales
Description: sequence contains ITS2
Source: RNAcentral